UACGUAGGGGGCAAGCGUUGUCCGGAAUCAUUGGGCGUAAAGCGCGUGUAGGCGGCUUGGUAAGUCCGCUCUGAAAGUCCGGGGCUCAACCCCGGGAGGCGGGUGGAUACUGUCAAGCUCGAGUCCGGAAGAGGCGAGUGGAAUUCCUGGUGUAGCGGUGAAAUGCGCAGAUAUCAGGAGGAACACCGAUGGCGAAGGCAGCUCGCUGGGACGGUACUGACGCUGAGACGCGAAAGCGUGGGGAGCAAACAGG
This 253-nucleotide ribosomal RNA is filed under the name uncultured bacterium. RNAcentral's name for it is "partial 16S ribosomal RNA". It matches the Rfam family "Bacterial small subunit ribosomal RNA", at positions 524 to 776 of the family's 1533-position model. The record is from RNAcentral.